RNAcentral lists this ribosomal RNA (2152 nucleotides) under Salmonella enterica subsp. enterica serovar Schwarzengrund. Its description in RNAcentral is "bacterial LSU rRNA". It matches the Rfam family "Bacterial large subunit ribosomal RNA", at positions 690 to 2822 of the family's 2925-position model. Lineage: Bacteria; Pseudomonadati; Pseudomonadota; Gammaproteobacteria; Enterobacterales; Enterobacteriaceae. The record is from RNAcentral.
GGGCGUUAAGUUGCAGGGUAUAGACCCGAAACCCGGUGAUCUAGCCAUGGGCAGGUUGAAGGUUGGGUAACACUAACUGGAGGACCGAACCGACUAAUGUUGAAAAAUUAGCGGAUGACCUGUGGCUGGGGGUGAAAGGCCAAUCAAACCGGGAGAUAGCUGGUUCUCCCCGAAAGCUAUUUAGGUAGCGCCUCGUGAAUUCAUCUCCGGGGGUAGAGCACUGUUUCGGCUAGGGGGCCAUCCCGGCUUACCAACCCGAUGCAAACUGCGAAUACCGGAGAAUGUUAUCACGGGAGACACACGGCGGGUGCUAACGUCCGUCGUGAAGAGGGAAACAACCCAGACCGCCAGCUAAGGUCCCAAAGUCAUGGUUAAGUGGGAAACGAUGUGGGAAGGCCCAGACAGCCAGGAUGUUGGCUUAGAAGCAGCCAUCAUUUAAAGAAAGCGUAAUAGCUCACUGGUCGAGUCGGCCUGCGCGGAAGAUGUAACGGGGCUAAACCAUGCACCGAAGCUGCGGCAGCGACGCUGAUGCGUUGUUGGGUAGGGGAGCGUUCUGUAAGCCUGCGAAGGUGGCCUGUGAGGGUUGCUGGAGGUAUCAGAAGUGCGAAUGCUGACAUAAGUAACGAUAAAGCGGGUGAAAAGCCCGCUCGCCGGAAGACCAAGGGUUCCUGUCCAACGUUAAUCGGGGCAGGGUGAGUCGACCCCUAAGGCGAGGCCGAAAGGCGUAGUCGAUGGGAAACGGGUUAAUAUUCCCGUACUUGGUGUUACUGCGAAGGGGGGACGGAGAAGGCUAUGUUGGCCGGGCGACGGUUGUCCCGGUUUAAGCGUGUAGGUGUGUGUUCCAGGUAAAUCCGGUUCACUUUAACACUGAGGCGUGAUGACGAGGCACUACGGUGCUGAAGCAACAAAUGCCCUGCUUCCAGGAAAAGCCUCUAAGCAUCAGGUAACAUCAAAUCGUACCCCAAACCGACACAGGUGGUCAGGUAGAGAAUACCAAGGCGCUUGAGAGAACUCGGGUGAAGGAACUAGGCAAAAUGGUGCCGUAACUUCGGGAGAAGGCACGCUGACACGUAGGUGAAGUGAUUUACUCAUGGAGCUGAAGUCAGUCGAAGAUACCAGCUGGCUGCAACUGUUUAUUAAAAACACAGCACUGUGCAAACACGAAAGUGGACGUAUACGGUGUGACGCCUGCCCGGUGCCGGAAGGUUAAUUGAUGGGGUCAGCGCAAGCGAAGCUCCUGAUCGAAGCCCCGGUAAACGGCGGCCGUAACUAUAACGGUCCUAAGGUAGCGAAAUUCCUUGUCGGGUAAGUUCCGACCUGCACGAAUGGCGUAAUGAUGGCCAGGCUGUCUCCACCCGAGACUCAGUGAAAUUGAACUCGCUGUGAAGAUGCAGUGUACCCGCGGCAAGACGGAAAGACCCCGUGAACCUUUACUAUAGCUUGACACUGAACAUUGAGCCUUGAUGUGUAGGAUAGGUGGGAGGCUUUGAAGUGUGGACGCCAGUCUGCAUGGAGCCGGCCUUGAAAUACCACCCUUUAAUGUUUGAUGUUCUAACGUGGACCCGUGAUCCGGGUUGCGGACAGUGUCUGGUGGGUAGUUUGACUGGGGCGGUCUCCUCCUAAAGAGUAACGGAGGAGCACGAAGGUUGGCUAAUCCUGGUCGGACAUCAGGAGGUUAGUGCAAUGGCAUAAGCCAGCUUGACUGCGAGCGUGACGGCGCGAGCAGGUGCGAAAGCAGGUCAUAGUGAUCCGGUGGUUCUGAAUGGAAGGGCCAUCGCUCAACGGAUAAAAGGUACUCCGGGGAUAACAGGCUGAUACCGCCCAAGAGUUCAUAUCGACGGCGGUGUUUGGCACCUCGAUGUCGGCUCAUCACAUCCUGGGGCUGAAGUAGGUCCCAAGGGUAUGGCUGUUCGCCAUUUAAAGUGGUACGCGAGCUGGGUUUAGAACGUCGUGAGACAGUUCGGUCCCUAUCUGCCGUGGGCGCUGGAGAACUGAGGGGGGCUGCUCCUAGUACGAGAGGACCGGAGUGGACGCAUCACUGGUGUUCGGGUUGUCAUGCCAAUGGCACUGCCCGGUAGCUAAAUGCGGAAGAGAUAAGUGCUGAAAGCAUCUAAGCACGAAACUUGCCCCGAGAUGAGUUCUCCCUGAGACU